AUCUUUUGAAAUUUAGGUCAUAUUUUUCUGACUUUUUUUGACUAAGAAGAAAGCAAAGUGGAUCUAACUAGCACACGGGGAAAAUCUGAAAGGCCCAGAGGCACAACUACAAGACAAGAGGACAUGAGAAACUGCAGACUGAGAAACUGAUGUCUUUCAGGUUCAGUGAGCUGCUACCGUUAUGGCCUGAUGUAUUGGUUUGAAUGGCUGGAGCUCAUGCAGAUCCGGAUGUGCUUCUGGUCGGCUCUGAUCUCCACUGCUCCCGCUAGGCCUCUUUUACAGCAACAGGAAAUGCUGCCUGCUAUGGGGUCACGACCCACUCAUUUUGACAUAUGCGUCAAGUGCAGCCCACCCGACCGGCAUACGAGGUUUCCGGUUCGUGCAAGGUGUGGACUGAUAGUUUGGGAAGGAAACGGAGGGCAGACGGAGCUGAGACAGCGAGGCAGAAUAGGAGAUGGAAAAGGUCCUUAAUCCCCAUACUGAACACCUUUGGGAGGAACAGCGAGGCAGAUCCCAUGACCAGGUUGAUUUUGAUUAUAUAUUGCUUGCUCUGCUACAUAAAUUUAGUACCACUAAAGGAAAUGGGCAUUUAUGUGUGUUCCCAUAUAUUAUGUGAAAGGACAUAAAUAAAACCAUAGUAUAGUGAGGCAGUGCCAUAAGAGAGUGUGUGUAAAAAGAAGGUGAGUUGAAUAUAAGGGUGAGGAGAGGGGGGUGUGUGCUCAGAUUCCGGGGCCUCGCUACCGUUACACA
RNAcentral lists this long non-coding RNA (750 nucleotides) under Danio rerio (zebrafish). RNAcentral describes it as "lncRNA si:ch211-91g3.4 (ENSDARG00000092717.2)". Lineage: Eukaryota; Metazoa; Chordata; Actinopteri; Cypriniformes; Danionidae. The record is from RNAcentral.